Molecule: long non-coding RNA, 4622 nt
Filed under: Homo sapiens (human)
Lineage: Eukaryota; Metazoa; Chordata; Mammalia; Primates; Hominidae
Description: HSALNT0012560
Source: RNAcentral
ACCUCUGUAAUGCACUUGGCAAUGAGCUGAUGCUCUUUAGUGGUAGUUGUGACGCCUCUCAGAAAUCUGACUUUACUAAAGUGGUAUUGAUGGGCCAAGGGCUUGGGUGCUCCUCAGUGACCUUGAUGAUGAAUUACAUCUGGGAUCCAGUGAGUGGAACAGACAGGUUCUUUAGCUGAGGAACAAAGCCCAGGCCUGUUCUUCAUCACUUAGCACCAGCUGGGAUCCCUUGUUGCCAGGCUGGCAGCUGUGAGGGAUCACUUGGCCACCAGGAAGACUUCCCAGCUGGGACUGUUCUGAAGAUUUGUGCCAGAGAAACUACAUCUGUGUUCCUUGUUCUGAAGAGGAGAAACAGUAAAAAAUUUGCCAAGGACCCAAGAUAGAAGACUGUGGGCCCAGAUCCUAAUGUAAAAGAAGCCUGCCUCAACUUAAUUUUCCUGGACAGCAAGAGCUAUGAAAAUGAACUGGGUGAAUAUUGGUGUUUUCAGCUUGAGGUUCCAAUGAAUUAGGACAAUCAGAAGGAAGAGUUUAAUUUUGGGGUCUAGCAUGAGACCAUUCAGUUCAAACUUUCAUUUCACAGUUAGGAAACUAGACCCAGAGAGGCACAGUGCUUCGGCUUGAUGCUAAUAGACUGAUUUUGGAAGGCAGUUGAGCUGGAAGACACAGAUCUGGGGGCUGUCAGCCAAGGGCUGAGAAGGAUGUGAAUUAAGAAGGUGGGAAGGGAAUUGAUGGUUAAGGCCUGAGUCUUGAGAGAAACCCAUGGCCAGGAGCAGAGGAGUUAAGAUUCAUUCAGAAAUGCUCCUACAGACGUGGGAGAACAAGGAUUGUUCAGUAUAAUGGAAGCCAAAGGAGAGGGUUUUGAGGAGCAAAAGACUAGCCAACAGUAGCAAUUGUGUCAAGGUGAUCAAGGAAUAAGAUGUAAACAAUUGUUGGAUUUAUAAUAUGAUUUUAAAAGUGCAGUUUCAGUAAAGUGGUAAGAAUGGGAGGACAAUCAAAUGGCACGUGGUGUGUGUGUGUGUGUGUGGAGGUUGUGGUGUGUGUGGGGGGGGAUGUAUGUGUGGAGAGUGUGGCAUGAGAUGCAUGUGCAUAUGUAUGUUUAGGAUGAGGUGUGUGUGGAGAGUGAGAUGUGUGUGUGUAGGAUAUGAGGUGUGUGAGCUGUGUGUGUGUGUGUGUGAUGUGUGUGUAGGGUGCAGUGUUGUGGUAUAUGUGUAUGUGUACAUGGUGUGGGGGGUGCAGGGUGUGUGUGUAUGUAGGAUGCGGUGUGUGUGGAGAGUGAGAUGUGUGUGUAGAGUGCAAUGUGUAUGGGGUGUUUGUAGGGUGCGCUGUACAUGUGGGCAGUGUGUGUGUAUUCUGACUGAAUGCUGAGCACUGGUGCUUGAGCUCUCCUGCCCUGCCUGGGAGGUGGUGUGUCUGAGGUGAGGGGAAGGCUGACCCAGCUGAUGGGUCCUGUGAGGCAGAGGUUGAGGAGGGAGCCAGAGAUGAGAACCAACAACAUGCUCCAGGAAGAGGGACAGGCGCAGAAGCAAGGGGACACCAGACUGGAACAGAUGGACUCAUGCAGUUGUUCCUUGAUGGCCUGUUCACAUAUAGCAUUUGCCAUGUCCCACAAAUGCAGAAUUCUGGUGGAACCACAGUGCGUGGAAGUUCCAGGAGACUGAAAGUGGUGCAAGGUUAAGUGUGUUACAUAUGUAAUUGAGUAAUCAGGGGUGCUGACAGCCCGACAGGCCAUGCCUUCCAUUCGAACCAGAGCUUGCUUCACAUAGAAAGAAAGCAAUGGCUUUCUAAGGAAUGUGGACAAGUGAGGAACCCUAUCAUAUCCUUCUUACUCAUUUCUUCCCUGUGUUAACCAACCACUUACGCUGAAAAUGAUGACACAGAAGAAAGGGAAAGACAGGACAACCCAUAGUUCCUUUUCCUUUCAGCCCUUCCUUACUCAUCAGUAAGCUGAAGGUCAAGAGUAUUGAUGGAACAUGCACGUUAUCAAGAAGUAAAAUUAAAACAGUUGAGUUAGUUUUGUGCAGUGUUCCCGCUGCUCUGGUAAGGACAAAAUAUAUACGCAAGUAAGAGCUAGGAAAUAUGAACUGUGUAAUUUCAAUGAUUCCACGUAUGAGUCAAAUGCACUUAUUUUCAUUUACAACUAACACUACACAACAUAAAGAAUAGUAAAAUUCAUACUAAUAAUUAAAUUUUAAAUUUUUCUUUACUUAAAAUGACAUUAAAUAUCAAAUUAAAAACAUCAUGACUAGUAAAAAAAAAUUGUGGAAGAAAGAAAAAGUUUUAUGCUUUGGUGACCCUUAAUGGCCUUAUUUCCCUCUGGUUUUUGAACAAGGAGCUCGAUAUUUUCAUUUUGUACUGGGCCCUGAAAAUUAUGUUACUGGCCCUGGGUGAGAUGGUUGUUUAUAUUUGUAUGACCAGGGUCAAAAAACAGUCUUGGAACCACAGGAGCAGGGAAGAUUCACCAAUAAAUUGAUGAACACAAGUCUUCAUCAUUACCCACACACACUCACUGGCCCCUCAACAUUGGUAACAAUGGCCAUGGGUGGAGAGUUAAGAAGAUGAUAACUCCCAGAAAACUAUGCUUUUUCUGCUGAUAACUCUUCAACAUCUCACCACACCCAAUAUCUCUGCUUUUGUUAACAAACCAUGAACUGCUUCAAGUUGUCAUACCCUUUCUCACUGUCUUUCUUCUGAUUGGAACGGCCUGGUGAGAGCAGGCUGGUGGGAACACACACCUUCCGAAAGGCCCUCACCACAGCAGAUCACUGCUGGCGUCCGAGCUACUUCCUGCUUGUCCUGUUGUGUCCUUCAUCAGUGACCGCACUCUUGGAGUGCUUGCCUCUGGCUCCUGUUUUCCACCCAUUUCUCAGCCUGGUAACUCCUGGUUUCCAGUCUUAGUGGGCCCACUGCUCUGCUCCCACCUCCUGUGAUAGGGUCGGGAGAGCCGCCAACCCCACUUGACUCCUGGACCCCAUCCAGGCUGUGGUAUGUGCCAGCACCAUCUUCCCAAAGGAUGCUGCCCCUCCCUGAGGCUCAUGGUAUAGCUCUUCUCCCAUAUUCAUACCCCCGUCUUGAAGCCUGGCCCACAUAGGGUUUCCAGAAAGCCUUCCCCGAACCACUAAUAGAAACCCUACUAUACUCACACCUUCCUUAAGAGAUACUUCACAAACCCAGUUUUGUGCGGUGCAAAGGGGAUGAAAUCAGAAAUAACAUAGGUUUAAAUCCUGGUUAACUAACUGAUUUUUGAGUCUGUCAAUAAACCUCUCUGUGCCUCAAUUUCCCCAUCUACAAAAACAGGAUUGUGAUACUUACCUCAUAGGAUCAUUGUGAGGAUUAUGAGAAAUAGCACAGGCAAAGCACCUAGGUGCUGCCUGGCAUGUCCCAGCACUCAGUAAAAGCUCCCCCAACACUUUUCUCCCCCUGCUGGGGUUGGGCACCAUGCCUUAUUCAUGCCUUUAUUCCUUGCAGCACCUAGAGUAACAUCUUGUGGCUGGCAGAUGAUCAAUGCCUGUGGAUUGAAUUAAAUUAAAACUUUCCUUGUGUUACACUGUUCUCUCCAUGUCCCCAGUUGUAAUAUCCUCUUAAAAGUAUCAUCGCUUGGCUGGGCACGGUGGCUCAUGCCUGUAAUCCCAGCACUUUGGGAGGCUGAGGCGGGUGGAUUACAAGGUCAGGAGAUCGAGACCAUCCUGGCUAACACGGUGAAACCCCGUCUGUACUAAAAAUACAAAAAAAAAAAAAAAAAUUAGCUGGGCGUGGUGGUGGGCGCCUGUAGUCCCAGCUACUCGGGAGGCUGAGGCAGAAGAAUGGCAUGAACCCGGGAGGGGGAGCUUGCAGUGAGCCGAGAUCGCGCCACUGCACUCCAGCAUGGGCAACAGAGUGAGACUCCGUGUCAAAAACAAACAAAAAAAAGUAUCAUUGCUCAGCUUAUAAGUUCUACUUCAUGUUACUGCAGAUUGUGACCCCCAAAUGAAGUAACUUUUGCUGUUCCUUCUUAUUAAAAAUAAUACAUGCUCAAUAUAUAAAUAAAAAUACAAGCAAAAAGAGUAUUAAAAAGUCUGAUAAUUCUACCCACACAGACAUAGCUAGUAUUAACAUCUCUCCAUUAGCUUUUCAAUGCAAUGCAGCUAUUAUAUCUAUGUGUGUGCAUGUAUACAUGUAUGUAUAAUAUUUUGCUGAGGGAGGAAGGUGGAAAUAGCAUAUUAAGAGAGGGAUGUGGGCUUUAGAAUAGAAAAAAUUCAGCAAGCCUGUGCUCUGUGAGUGUGAAAAUAACCACUGGUGUCUACUUAGAUUCAGUAGGGUGGGAGUCUUGCUGGAAAUGCUUUUUAAAUUUCUAGUGCCAUAAUCUUUCUUUCAUCCAAAGAGGAAAAAAUGAGUCUUUACGUAUUUUUUAAUGUAGCGAUAAUUAUCAUUCAUCAGCAUACUGCACACUCUUUAUUUGGGUGUUUAUUAAGGAUCUAUUUCAUGCCAGACGCUGGAGUUGGCACUAAAAACAAGGAUACGGUUACUGCUCUCAGUGAGUUUUCAGUCUGGUGGGGGACACACAUGAGAAAUAGCACAGGCAAAGCCCCUGGGUGCUGCCUGGCAUGUCCCAGCACUCAAUAAAAGCUCCCCCCAACACUUUUCUC